This 301-nucleotide ribosomal RNA is filed under the name uncultured bacterium. RNAcentral's name for it is "partial 16S ribosomal RNA". It matches the Rfam family "Bacterial small subunit ribosomal RNA", at positions 509 to 807 of the family's 1533-position model. The record is from RNAcentral.
CAGCCGCCGCGGGAAUACGGAGGGUGCAAGCGUUAAUCGGAAUUACUGGGCGUAAAGCGCACGCAGGCGGUCUGACAAGUCAGAUGUGAAAUCCCCGGGCUUAACCUGGGAACUGCAUUUGAAACUGUCAGGCUGGAGUCUUGUAGAGGGGGGUGGAAUUCCAGGUGUAGCGGUGAAAUGCGUAGAGAUCUGGAGGAAUACCGGUGGCGAAGGCGGCCCCCUGGACAAAGACUGACGCUCAGGUGCGAAAGCGUGGGGAGCAAACAGGAUUAGAUACCCCAGUAGUUUCUGUCUCUUAUAC